GGCAGAUGAUUGGGGUGAAGUCGUAACAAGGUAUCCCUACCGGAAGGUGGGGAUGGAUCACCUCCUUU
Molecule: ribosomal RNA, 68 nt
Filed under: Thermoactinomyces daqus
Lineage: Bacteria; Bacillati; Bacillota; Bacilli; Caryophanales; Thermoactinomycetaceae
Also listed under: 4 other names
Description: Bacterial small subunit ribosomal RNA
Rfam family: Bacterial small subunit ribosomal RNA
Source: Rfam by way of RNAcentral